GAAGGCUGAAAUUCGCCUUCAUGAAGCUGGAAUUGCUAGUAAUGGCAGGUCAGCAUACUGCCGUGAAUACGUUCCCGGGCCUUGUACACACCGCCCGUCACACCAUGAGAGUUGGGAAUACCCGAAGCCUGUGAGCCAACUUUUAAAGAGGCAACAGUCGAAGGUAGAAUCAAUGAUUGGGGUGAAGUCGUAACAAGGUACC
RNAcentral lists this ribosomal RNA (202 nucleotides) under uncultured bacterium. RNAcentral describes it as "partial 16S ribosomal RNA". It matches the Rfam family "Bacterial small subunit ribosomal RNA", at positions 1300 to 1500 of the family's 1533-position model. The record is from RNAcentral.